UAGGGAAUAUUGCGCAAUGGGCGAAAGCCUGACGCAGCAACACCGCGUGGAGGAUGAAGUUUCUAGGAACGUAAACUCCUGUCGGCAGGGAAUAAUUUUGACUGUACCUGCAAAGGAAGGACCGGCUAACUACGUGCCAGCAGCCGCGGUAAUACGUAGGGUCCAAGCGUUGUCCGGAUUUAUUGGGCGUAAAGAGUUCGUAGGUGGUUGCUUAAGUCUGAUGUUAAAUACCGAAGCUUAACUUCGGCAUGGCAUUGGAAACUGGGCGGCUGGAGUCCGUCAGAGGUAACUGGAAUUCCUGGUGUAGCGGUGAAAUGCGUAGAUAUCAGGAGGAACACCCGUGGCGAAAGCGAGUUACUGGGACGGUACUGACACUGAGGAACGAAAGCCUGGGGAGCGAAAGG
RNAcentral lists this ribosomal RNA (404 nucleotides) under uncultured bacterium. RNAcentral describes it as "bacterial SSU rRNA". It matches the Rfam family "Bacterial small subunit ribosomal RNA", at positions 355 to 775 of the family's 1533-position model. The record is from RNAcentral.